This 523-nucleotide ribosomal RNA is filed under the name uncultured bacterium. RNAcentral's name for it is "bacterial SSU rRNA". It matches the Rfam family "Bacterial small subunit ribosomal RNA", at positions 8 to 518 of the family's 1533-position model. The record is from RNAcentral.
AGGGUUCGAUUCUGGCUCAGGAUGAACGCUGGCGGCAGGCUUAAUACAUGCAAGUCGAACGGUAAGGCCGAGCGUAGCAAUACGUGAGGUACACGAGUGGCGCACGGGUGCGUAACGCGUAUGCAAUCUGCCCCCGACCGGGACAAAACAGCUGGAAACGGCUGCUAAUAUCCCAUGGUCAUGAGAGACGGCAUCGUUUUUCAUGUAAAGAUUCAUUGGUCGGGGAUGAGCAUGCGUAUUAUUAGGUAGUUGGUGGGGUAACGGCCCACCAAGCCGACGAUGAUUAGGGGUUCUGAGAGGAUUAACCCCCCACACUGGAACUGAGACACGGUCCAGACUCCUACGGGAGGCAGCAGUAGGGAAUAUUGGGCAAUGGAGGCAACUCUGACCCAGCCAUGCCGCCGUGAAGGAAGACGGCCCUAUGGGUUGUAAACUUCUUUUGCCGCAGAGUAAACCCGGUCACGUGUGGCCGGUUGAGAGUAUGCGGCGAAUAAGUAUCGGCUAACUCCGUGCCAGCCGCGGC